CAGCCGCCGCGGUAAUACGGAGGGUGCAAGCGUUAAUCGGAAUUACUGGGCGUAAAGCGCACGCAGGCGGUCUGACAAGUCAGAUGUGAAAUCCCCGGGCUCAACCUGGGAACUGCAUUUGAAACUGGCAAGCUAGAGUCUCGUAGAGGGGGGUAGAAUUCCAGGUGUAGCGGUGAAAUGCGUAGAGAUCUGGAGGAAUACCGGUGGCGAAGGCGGCCCCCUGGACGAAGACUGACGCUCAGGUGCGAAAGCGUGGGGAGCAAACAGGAUUAGAUACCCGUGUAGUCCCUGUCUCUUAUAC
This 301-nucleotide ribosomal RNA is filed under the name uncultured bacterium. RNAcentral describes it as "partial 16S ribosomal RNA". It matches the Rfam family "Bacterial small subunit ribosomal RNA", at positions 509 to 807 of the family's 1533-position model. The record is from RNAcentral.